Molecule: ribosomal RNA, 481 nt
Filed under: uncultured bacterium
Lineage: Bacteria
Description: partial 16S ribosomal RNA
Rfam family: Bacterial small subunit ribosomal RNA
Source: RNAcentral
AUUGAACGCUGGCGGCAUGCCUUACACAUGCAAGUCGAACGGUAACGGGCCUUCGGGUGCCGACGAGUGGCGAACGGGUGAGUAAUACAUCGGAAUGUGCCCGAUCGUGGGGGAUAACGAGGCGAAAGCUUUGCUAAUACCGCAUACGAUCUACGGAUGAAAGCAGGGGACCGCAAGGCCUUGCGCGGACGGAGCGGCCGAUGGCAGAUUAGGUAGUUGGUGGGAUAAAAGCUUACCAAGCCGACGAUCUGUAGCUGGUCUGAGAGGAUGAUCAGCCACACUGGGACUGAGACACGGCCCAGACUCCUACGGGAGGCAGCAGUGGGGAAUUUUGGACAAUGGGCGCAAGCCUGAUCCAGCCAUGCCGCGUGCAGGAUGAAGGCCUUCGGGUUGUAAACUGCUUUUGUACGGAACGAAAAGCCUUCUUUUAAUACAGGAGGGUCAUGACGGUACCGUAAGAAUAAGCACCGGCUAACUACGU